Molecule: unclassified non-coding RNA, 2461 nt
Filed under: Rhopalosiphum maidis (corn leaf aphid)
Lineage: Eukaryota; Metazoa; Arthropoda; Insecta; Hemiptera; Aphididae
Description: protein goliath, transcript variant X3
Source: RNAcentral
CACGCGCCGCGGUCCAUCGUUUUGCUCGAGCUUUAGGCGAAGAUUUUUUGAUCUCGUUAUUUAGUCGCGUAGUCACAGCGGACGUGUGAAUUUGUCACAACACCGAUUGCGUUAGACGCGAAAAAUCGUUAUAGCUCAUCGACAUUAGUCCCGGGCAGCCGCCUACACAGCAGCCGCGGAAUGCCCGACGGUCGUCUUUUAUUCACGGAAAGUCGUCGGUUAGCGGUGAAAACGUAUACAGAGCUUCAGAAAGCUAGUUCGAUCGAUCGGUUUCACGGCAACGUUAAUAUUACCGUCGCAUCCGCGACGAUGUAGUAUAGUUCCCGGUCAUCCGUCAGAUUUUCGGUUUACAACCACAUUACCAUUAUUAGAGUCUUACCCCGUUUUCGAGCAAAUAAAAGUAAUUUCGGUCAGUCAAAAAAUAUCGAUUUUCGUUUGACCGCUUUUAAAAAAAGAAAAAAAUAAGACCGCGCGUAAAUUCGACGUCGAAAAUAUCAUUACCAACGUACUGUCGUAUUAAAUUGUAGCUAAUCGAAUACGAAUCGGCGUCCACAACGGCGGACACCAGCAGCACCUAUCUCACCAUGAACGCGAUGCUGGCCGCGUGGACGUUACUCGGCGUGGCCGCGUCGUCGGACCCGUGGUCGGCCGCCGCGUCCACCGUCGACGAGACAGCCGACUCUUACACGACCGCAUACCUGAACGUGACCAGCUACGACGUGGCCACGGGCGUCGCGGUCCAGACGGAAAAAUCGGAGAUCGGCAAGUUCGGCGAGUAUCACGUGGGGGCCGCCUCCGGGAUGUUGCUGCACGUGAUCGGCACGGACGGCGACCGCAAUGGGUGCGCGCCCCCGGUGCAUGGCGUCCAAGAGCCGCCUGACUCCGGGCCUUGGAUAGCGCUGGUGCGCAGGGGCAAGUGCAGUUUUCAGACAAAAGUGGACAACGCGCGCCGGGCCGGCGCCUCGGCUGUGAUCGUCUAUAACGACCGCGAAGCCACCGACCUCGACAAAAUGAAGCUUUUGCCCUCUGAUCCGAGAAAUAUCAGUGCGGUUUUCACGUAUAAAUGGAAGGGCGAGGACAUGGCCCGAAUGCUGGAUGACAUGACCAGGAGGGUAAUGGUAAAAAUCACAAUAGCCAGUCAUUGCACCAGACCAUACGGUAACAUUAACAGAACUUCAGUAUUGUUUGUGAGCAUAUCGUUCAUAGUGCUUAUGGUAAUUUCUUUAGCAUGGCUUGUAUUCUACUACAUACAAAGAUUCCGAUAUAUACACGCUAAAGAUCAACUUUCGAGGCGAUUAUGUAACGCGGCCAAAAAAGCGUUGUCAAAGAUACCUACCAAGCACAUCAAAAUGGAUGACAAGGAAAUCGGCGGUGACGGUGACUGUUGUGCAGUAUGCAUUGAACCAUAUAGACCGUCCGAAGUAGUUCGGAUAUUACCAUGCCGACACGAAUUCCACAAAAGCUGUGUAGAUCCUUGGCUGUUAGAGCACCGAACUUGCCCGAUGUGCAAAAUGGACAUACUCAAGCAUUAUGGCUUUUUGUUCACGGGCAGUCAAGAGAGUUUCCUGCACGUGGAAGUCGAAGAGGUGCCCAACGAUUUCGACGUGUACCAGUACGCACGUGGUCGGAGUUUCAUGGACACGGCGCAAAACUCGAGAACGAUACCGGACGUGGCCGCGGUGGCAGUGGCGGCUGCGGCGGCGGCGGCGGUCGUGUGCGAAUCGCCCGACAGUAGGUCGUCGACGCCCGACGAACUGACGCCCGCGCUGGCCCAACGCAACGACAUCGGCGGCGGCGGCGGCAGUGGCGACGGCCGUACAGACGCCGCCACCAACUGUACAACGGUCGCCGCCGGCACCAACCGAUCGACGUCAUUCGAAGAGCAGCCUCCGGUCCACUCUGUUAGCAUACCUACAACAGCUAAAUAGUCUGACGACGGCCGACGCACUCACAAUCACAACUGUAUAGUGUAUAUUUUAUUGAAUAACUAUAUUUGUUAUUUUUAUAAUAUACAUCUAUUUCACAAGACCGUUUCCGGAUAUCGUGUAUUUGUGUGCGUGUGUGCGCGGUAUAUACCACAGGAAUCAAAACAAUAAUCGACUCUGAUUGGUGGCACAGCCGACUAGGCCCACUGCGGCAGACGCGUUCUUCAGAUGGUUUCUGAAACAUCAAAACAACGAUUCAGGACGGAUGUGAUACUAGCAAUUAAGAUGACUUAAACUUUGUAAUAGAAUAUAUCUUCAGUUCAAGUCUUAUUAUUAUAGAUAUUAGGAUUAGGUACAAAAAAAAUAUAAGAUUAUAUAAUUUAAUGAAAUUGACUUUUCAGUCUAAGUUAUUAAAACCGUAUGAAUAUACCUAGUCAGUAUUCCUAUAAUAUAAUAUAGCACUCUGAUAAUGACUGGAUUUAAAUGUGAACGGUACUUUUUGUAACUAUUUUAUAGAUAAAUAUGUAUAAUUAUGU